This 483-nucleotide ribosomal RNA is filed under the name uncultured bacterium. Its description in RNAcentral is "partial 16S ribosomal RNA". It matches the Rfam family "Bacterial small subunit ribosomal RNA", at positions 30 to 506 of the family's 1533-position model. The record is from RNAcentral.
AUUGAACGCUGGCGGCAGGCCUAACACAUGCAAGUCGAGCGGAUGAAGGGAGCUUGCUCCUGGAUUCAGCGGCGGACGGGUGAGUAAUGCCUAGGAAUCUGCCUGGUAGUGGGGGAUAACGUCCGGAAACGGGCGCUAAUACCGCAUACGUCCUGAGGGAGAAAGUGGGGGAUCUUCGGACCUCACGCUAUCAGAUGAGCCUAGGUCGGAUUAGCUAGUUGGUGGGGUAAAGGCCUACCAAGGCGACGAUCCGUAACUGGUCUGAGAGGAUGAUCAGUCACACUGGAACUGAGACACGGUCCAGACUCCUACGGGAGGCAGCAGUGGGGAAUAUUGGACAAUGGGCGAAAGCCUGAUCCAGCCAUGCCGCGUGUGUGAAGAAGGUCUUCGGAUGGUAAAGCACCUUAAGUUGGGAGGAAGGGCAGUAAGUUAAUACCUUGCUGUUUUGACGUUACCAACAGAAUAAGCACCGGCUAACUUCGU